AUCUGGUCAGCAAACAAGCUACUAGAAGACUCAGAUUAUGGCCUUCCAGGAAAGAGAGACACUCUACAAGCAAGCUGGCGCCAGUGGAAAAAUAACCGAGAAUACCACGGAUCUAUGUUUUGUGUUGUUUGUCUGUGGUGUUUGUCUUGUUGCUAGCAUUGUUGUGUUUUAAUGA
Molecule: long non-coding RNA, 175 nt
Organism: Chelonia mydas (Green sea turtle)
Lineage: Eukaryota; Metazoa; Chordata; Testudines; Cheloniidae
Exons: 2
Source: RefSeq, a predicted model, not a curated record